GUAUGCUUAACACAUGCAACGUCGAACGGUGUCUUCGGACAUAGUGGCGGACGGGUGAGUAACGCGUGAGAAUCUGCCUUCAGGAUGGGGACAACGACUGGAAACGGUCGCUAAAACCCAAUGUGCCGAGAGGUGAAAUAUUUAUAGCCUGAAGAUGAGCGCGCGUCAGAUUAGCUAGUUGGUAAGGUAAUGGCUUACCAAGGCGACGAUCUGUAGCUGGUCUGAGAGGAUGAUCAGCCACACUGGGACUGAGACACGGCCCAGACUCCUACGGGAGGCAGCAGUGGGGAAUUUUCCGCAAUGGGCGAAAGCCUGACGGAGCAAUACCGCGAGAGGGAGGAAGGCUCUUGGGUUGUAAACCUCUUUUGAUCGGGAAGAAGACAGUGACGGUACCGAUCGAAUCAGCAUCGGCUAACUCCGUGCCAGCAGCCGCGGUAAUACGGAGGAUGCAAGCGUUAUCCGGAUUUAUUGGGCGUAAAGCGUCCGCAAGUGGUUGAGCAAGUCUGCUGUCAAAGCGCGGAGCUUAACUCCGUAAAGGCAGUGGAAACUGUUUAACUUGAGUACGAUAGGGGUAGCGGGAAUUCCCAGUGUACGGUGAAAUGCGCUAAUAUUGGGAAGAACACCAGCGGCGAAAGCGCGCUACUGGGCCUGUACUGACCCUGA
RNAcentral lists this ribosomal RNA (663 nucleotides) under uncultured bacterium. RNAcentral's name for it is "bacterial SSU rRNA". It matches the Rfam family "Bacterial small subunit ribosomal RNA", at positions 42 to 749 of the family's 1533-position model. The record is from RNAcentral.